AUGAGUUAUGAGUUACUCACUUGGUGCCAUUCCACCAUUGCUCCACCACAACCCAACAACCUCUUCUUGGAGUGGUGGUCCACCACGUCCCCUUCCUCCUACCGAAAAGGGCUCUCUUCCCUCUUCCUUCUGACGGCAUGGUACCUUUGGAAGCAUCGGAAUGGAUGCGUGUUCGACGGUCCACACCCCUCCCUGAGCCACCACCUACAGCUCAUCAAGGAUGAAGCUCGGCUAUGGGCGCAAGCGGGUGCUUUUGGCUUGGCCAACAUUUUUUUCGAGAAAACGCAAAAGAGCUUGCAUUUCAUUGUAUUGAAAAGACGGGGUUUAAUAGUUACAAUCCUCCUGGGAGGCAGUUACAGCUCGGGAUGA
Molecule: ribosomal RNA, 369 nt
Filed under: Triticum aestivum (bread wheat)
Lineage: Eukaryota; Viridiplantae; Streptophyta; Magnoliopsida; Poales; Poaceae
Description: partial small subunit ribosomal RNA
Source: RNAcentral